GCCCGACUAGCGCAAUGGUAGCGCGCAUGACUUCUACAGGUUCCCCCUUUGGGAGUACAUCAUGAGGCUGUGGGUUCGAGUUCCACGUUGGGCU
Non-coding RNA from Podospora didyma, 94 nucleotides. The record is from the annotation of a GenBank genome assembly. Lineage: Eukaryota; Fungi; Ascomycota; Sordariomycetes; Sordariales; Podosporaceae.